AACUACAUACAAUAAGCGGAGGAAAAGAAACUAACAAGGAUUCCCCUAGUAACUGCGAGUGAAGCGGGAAAAGCUCAAAUUUAAAAUCUGGUGGUCUUUGGCCAUCCGAGUUGUAAUUUAGAGAAGCGUCUUCCGCGCUGGACCGUGCACAAGUCUCCUGGAAUGGAGCGUCAUAGAGGGUGAGAAUCCCGUCUUUGGCACGGACACACCAGGGCUUUUGUGAUGCGCUCUCAAAGAGUCGAGUUGUUUGGGAAUGCAGCUCAAAAUGGGUGGUGAACUCCAUCUAAAGCUAAAUAUUGGCGAGAGACCGAUAGCGAACAAGUACCGUGAGGGAAAGAUGAAAAGCACUUUGGAAAGAGAGUGAAACAGUACGUGAAAUUGUUGAAAGGGAAACGCUUGAAGUCAGUCGCGUCGACCGAGACUCAGCCUUGCCUCGGCUUGGUGUACUUCUCGGCCUGACGGGUCAGCAUCAAUUUUGCCCCUUGGAUAAUGGCGAGGGAAAUGUGACACCUUUACGGUGUGUUAUAGUCCCUUGUCGCAUGCAAGGGUUGGGAUUGAGGAACUCAGCACGCGCCUUUGGGUGUCGGGGCUUUGCCCACGAUACGUGCUUAGGAUGUUGGCGUAAUGGCUUUAAACGACCCGUCUUGAAACACGGACCAAGGAGUCUAACAUGCCUGCGAGUGUUCGGGUGGAAAACCCGUGCGCGCAAUGAAAGUGAAAGUUGGGACCUCUGUCGUGGAGGGCACCGACGCCCGGACCAGACCUUCUGUGACGGCUCUGCGGUGAAGCAUGUAUGUUAGGACCCGAAAGAUGGUGAACUAUGCCUGAAUAGGGUGAAGCCAGAGGAAACUCUGGUGGAGGCUCGUAGCGAUUCUGACGUGCAAAUCGAUCGUCAAAUUUGGGUAUAGGGGCGAAAGACUAAUCGAACCAUCUAGUAGCUGGUUCUGCGCGUUUCUCCUCCCCGCCCCUCAGGAAGGGGGAAA
RNAcentral lists this ribosomal RNA (983 nucleotides) under Russula decolorans. RNAcentral describes it as "LSU rRNA". It matches the Rfam family "Eukaryotic large subunit ribosomal RNA", at positions 31 to 980 of the family's 3401-position model. The record is from RNAcentral. Lineage: Eukaryota; Fungi; Basidiomycota; Agaricomycetes; Russulales; Russulaceae.